AGAUUGAACGCUGGCGGAAUGCUUUACACAUGCAAGUCGAGCGGCAGCGCGGGGGCAACCCUGGCGGCGAGCGGCGAACGGGUGAGUAAUACAUCGGAACGUGUCCUGGAGUGGGGGAUAGCUCGGCGAAAGCCGGAUUAAUACCGCAUAAGCUCUGAGGAGGAAAGCGGGGGAUUCGCAAGGACCUCGCGCUGUUGGAGCGGCCGAUGUCGGAUUAGCUAGUUGGUGGGGUAAAGGCCCACCAAGGCGACGAUCCGUAGCUGGUCUGAGAGGAUGAUCAGCCACACUGGAACUGAGACACGGUCCAGACCUCCUACGGGAGGCAGCGAGUGGGGAAUUUUGGACAAGUGGGGCAACCCGUGAUCCAGCCAUUCCGCGUGAGUAGAAGAGGUCUUCGGGUUGUAAGCUCGUACCGGACGGAACGAAGUCGUACGGUC
Molecule: ribosomal RNA, 437 nt
Filed under: uncultured soil bacterium
Lineage: Bacteria
Description: bacterial SSU rRNA
Rfam family: Bacterial small subunit ribosomal RNA
Source: RNAcentral